Molecule: ribosomal RNA, 467 nt
Filed under: uncultured bacterium
Lineage: Bacteria
Description: partial 16S ribosomal RNA
Rfam family: Bacterial small subunit ribosomal RNA
Source: RNAcentral
GACGAACGCUGGCGGCGUGCUUAACACAUGCAAGUCGAACGGAAAGGCCCUGCUUUUGUGGGGUGCUCGAGUGGCGAACGGGUGAGUAACACGUGAGUAACCUGCCCUUGACUUUGGGAUAACUUCAGGAAACUGGGGCUAAUACCGGAUAGGAGCUCCUGCUGCAUGGUGGGGGUUGGAAAGUUUCGGCGGUUGGGGAUGGACUCGCGGCUUAUCAGCUUGUUGGUGGGGUAGUGGCUUACCAAGGCUUUGACGGGUAGCCGGCCUGAGAGGGUGACCGGCCACAUGGGGACUGAGAUACGGCCCAGACUCCUACGGGAGGCAGGAGUGGGGAAUAUUGCACAAUGGGCGGAAGCCUGAUGCAGCAACGCCGGGGGCGGGAUGACGGCCUUCGGGUGGGAAACCGCUUUCGCCUGUGACGAAGCGUGAGUGACGGUAAUGGGAAAAGAAGCACCGGCUAACUACGG